AAGGCUUCAGUACGACCCAGUCAGAACUAUAAGUCUCAAAGCCCCGACGAGUAGGGUGGCGUGCCGGUGCGCGUUGAAGGCCAAGACGUGAGUCAGGCUGGAGCCGCCGGUAGUGCAGAUCUUGGUGGUAGUAGCAAGUACUCUGGUGAACCAACCUGGAGCUGUGAGGUCUGGAUCAGGGUUCCAUGUCAACAGUGAUUGAACAUGGGUGAGUCGAUCCUAAGCCAACUGUGAAAGCAGUGACAUCCCGACAACGGAGCAUUACGUGCGCUGCACUUACACCCCCAAACCAAAGCUCUCGAGUAUCUCUCUCUGUGAUGGAUGGUACGCAAAGUGCGCACUCGCUCUAAUCACUGCAAAAAUGUGGUAUUGCUUGUGCAAGCUUGCUUUUCUGGUUACGCUCAUAAGCGUUGAGGCUCUGUGAAUAAAGAGAGAAAGAGAGUGGGUGAGCGUGAGAUUGCCCUCGCAUGGCUCUUGCGUUGGUUCUAUGUCUGGCGAAAGGGAAUGGGGACUUUGUUCCUUGACCGGUCCCGGCACCCUCGAUUGGCUCUGCCAAUUAAUGGUCCAUGCAAAUGGAACCAGGCCACAGCCGCCGGCAGUCGCCCGAGGAAGAGUUUUCUUUUCUGCUUAACGCACGAGGUCAUCCCUGGAAACAGUUCGGCUGGCGAAAGGGUGCCCCGUUGCGGCAGAGCGCCACGACUGUCGUGCGCGUCUCGGUGUUCCUGCCGGUCCGUGAAGACGUGGUCGAGGGGAUUGCUCUUGUAUCAACGAAACGCCCGACAAGUUCGGGACGGACCGUACCCUAUAUCCGCAUCUGGUCUCCAAGGUUCGUAGCCUCUGCAGAGUCAGACACAUGUAGGUAAGGGAAGUCGGCAAACUCGAUCCGUAACUUCGGGAAAAGGAUUGGCUCUGAGGGCCGAGCUGGGCCGGGCCUUGCCUGCAAAGCAGUACCUAUAGUGACCGGAGUUUCAGGAGUGCGAGGGGCUCUAGUAGCUGCUUGCGUGCGUGUGCGUUCGCGCGUGCGCGUGUGUGGGCACGAACGAGUCCACCGCUCCGCUCCAACCACGAACGGCUGUGACGGCAAGGGCUCUGGGCGGGAGCGAUCAAACCGUUGGCCUCCAGCUCGUCUGGCUGGCGGCGGUGCUCCGUCUGACCCAUACGGCUCCAGCGGCUAGCGGCUAACUCAGAACUGUCAUGGACCAAGGGAAUCCGACUGUCUAAUUAAAACAAAGCGUCGUGACGGCCCC
Molecule: ribosomal RNA, 1247 nt
Filed under: Niphargus sp. ND273
Lineage: Eukaryota; Metazoa; Arthropoda; Malacostraca; Amphipoda; Niphargidae
Description: partial large subunit ribosomal RNA
Rfam family: Eukaryotic large subunit ribosomal RNA
Source: RNAcentral